This 1423-nucleotide long non-coding RNA is filed under the name Oryzias sinensis (Chinese medaka). RNAcentral describes it as "lncRNA (ENSOSIG00000018857.1)". The record is from RNAcentral. Lineage: Eukaryota; Metazoa; Chordata; Actinopteri; Beloniformes; Adrianichthyidae.
AUGCGCCGGGUGGUGGUGGUGACCCAUGCCGUUGUAAGAGUUUACCAUCCCGGGGAGGGCCAUGCUCUGCACCCGAGAGUAGGGGUUAUAGGACGAGGGGGCCGUCAGGCCCUUGACGUUGACUGGACUCACGUUGCCGCUCGCCAUCUGGCAGGACGUGUAGGACAUCGGCGUGGGCGGCUGGCCCAACGACCAGGAGUUGUUCAUGAAGCUGGACUGCAGAUACUUGGGCGGGGACAGGUACCCGUAGCCGUCUCCUGCGAACAAGGCUUUUCCCGGCUGGAAGUGCGUGGGCGGCGGUCGGAAAGGCCGCUUCAUCCUGCGGCGUCUCCUGUAGUUCCCUUUCUCGAACAUGUCCUCGCAGGCCGGGUCGAGUGUCCAGUAAUUCCCCUUCCGCUCCCCGCCGCCCUCCCGCGGAACCUUGAUGAAGCACUCGUUGAGGCUCAGGUUGUGCCUGAUGCUGUUCUGCCAGCCUUUCUUGUUCUUCUCAUAGAAAGGGAACUUGCUGAUGAUGUACUGGUAGAUGCCAGACAGCGUGAGGCGCUUCUCGGAGCUCUCCCGAAUGGCCAUGGCGAUGAGGGCGACGUACGAGUAGGGGGGCUUCUGGGACGGAUCCGGCUUCUCGGAGACCUUCUCCUGCACCGGCUCCUCUUUCGGUCGCUCCUUGUCUUUGCUCGUGUUGGUGUCGUGGAUCAUCAGCGCCAUCGGGUCGUCCUCCGGGCUUUGGCCUCUGCCAUACCUUUCACGCACGCGCGCAGCGUGUCUGCGGGUUGUGGGAGGCCUGAGCCGUCAUCCUAACAGACAAUAAUACAAUCGGAACGAGUGGAAUUCCCGCACUCACGCACUUCCUGAUCCCGCAGGUCGGAGACUAGGAUGUUUAUCAUUGCGCGCGCGCGCGGAAUGCGCCAGCGGAACCGCUGGGUCAGGCCGCAGGCCGGGACCGGAGAACAGCCAGUCAGGCGCUCGCAGGUGUCGGAUGGCCUCUGGGACAAGCAGGACCAAAUAGAAAACUGACGUUUUUACUUCAUGUUUAUCUCCCUUUACUUGUAUAUUUCUGAAUUCAUUUUUAAAUACCAGGACGCCAGCGAUAGAAAGACAAAUAAAUGAGCAUGUAUAGAAAGAGAAAAGACACAUUUUUCGUUUGAAAUGACACAUUAAGACUCUCAUUCAUCCAGGUAGAUUCCAUCAUAGUUGUAGGUUUAAAGGCUGUCAUCUGGACUUGGUUACUUAGAGUUGGAGACGUUUCACCUCUUAUCCAAAAGGCUUUGUCAAUUCUGAAAUAGCUCUUUUACCAGCUACAACCUUUAAACUUACUAUCAUUUCUGACACAACAAGGUUGCAGUUCAGCUGUGGGCCUGUUUGAUAUGUAAUUAUACACACAGAAUUGAUCAAAAUACAAUUUCCUCAAAAUUAAUAAACAAAA